RNAcentral lists this ribosomal RNA (497 nucleotides) under uncultured bacterium. RNAcentral's name for it is "partial 16S ribosomal RNA". It matches the Rfam family "Bacterial small subunit ribosomal RNA", at positions 28 to 507 of the family's 1533-position model. The record is from RNAcentral.
GAUGAACGCUGGCGGCGUGCCUAAUACAUGCGAGUCGAGCGAACAGACGAUGAGCUUGCUCCUCUGACGUUAGCGGCGGACGGGUGUGUCACACGUGGAUACCCUCCCUAUAAGACUGGGAUCACUUCGGGAAACCGGAGCUAAUACCGGAUAAUAUCUUGAACCGCAUGGUUCAAUAGUGAAAGACGGUUUUGCUGUCACUUAUAGAUGGAUCCGCGCCGCAUUAGCUAGUUGGUACGGUAACGGCUUACCAAGGCAACGAUGCGUAGCCGACCUGAUAGGGUGGUCGGCCACACUGGAACGGAGACACGGUCCAGAGGCCUGCGGGAGGCAGCAGUAGGGAAUCUUCCGCAAUGGGCGAAAGCCUGACGGAGCAACGCCGCGUGAGUGAUGAAGGUCUUCGGAGCGUAAAACUCUGUUAUUAGGGAAGAACAAAUGUGUAAGUAACUAUGCACGUCUUGACGGUACCUAAUCAGAAAGCCACGGCUAACUACGUG